CCUACGGGCGGCUGCAGUGGGGAAUAUUGCACAAUGGGCGCAAGCCUGAUGCAGCCAUGCCGCGUGUGUGAAGAAGGCCUUCGGGUUGUAAAGCACUUUCAGCGGGGAGGAGGGCGUUAAGGUUAAUAACCUUGUCGAUUGACGUUACCCGCAGAAGAAGCACCGGCUAACUCCGUGCCAGCAGCCGCGGUAAUACGGAGGGUGCAAGCGUUAAUCGGAAUUACUGGGCGUAAAGCGCACGCAGGCGGUCUGUCAAGUCGGAUGUGAAAUCCCCGGGCUCAACCUGGGAACUGCAUUCGAAACUGGCAGGCUAGAGUCUUGUAGAGGGGGGUAGAAUUCCAGGUGUAGCGGUGAAAUGCGUAGAGAUCUGGAGGAAUACCGGUGGCGAAGGGGACUCUUUGGUCUGUAACUGACGCUGAGGCGCGAAAGCGUGGGGAGCAAACAGGAUUAGAUACCCCGGUAGUC
Molecule: ribosomal RNA, 465 nt
Filed under: uncultured Klebsiella sp.
Lineage: Bacteria; Pseudomonadati; Pseudomonadota; Gammaproteobacteria; Enterobacterales; Enterobacteriaceae
Description: bacterial SSU rRNA
Rfam family: Bacterial small subunit ribosomal RNA
Source: RNAcentral